GAUGAACGCUCGCUGUGUGCCUAAUACAUGCAUGUUGAACGGGAUGUAGCAAUACAUUCAGUAGCGAAUGGGUGAGUAACACGUACCUAACCUACCUUUAAGACUGGGAUAACUAUUGGAAACAAUAGCUAAUACCGGAUAUAGUUAUUUAUCGCAUGAUGAGUAAUAGAAAGGAGCUUCACAGCUUCACUUAAAAAUGGGGGUGCGGAACAUUAGUUAGUUGGUAGGGUAAUGGCCUACCAAGACGAUGAUGUUUAGCCGGGCCGAGAGGCUGUACGGCCACACUGGGACUGAGAUACGGCCCAGACUCCUACGGGAGGCAGCAGUAAGGAAUUUUCCACAAUGAGCGAAAGCUUGAUGGAGCGACACAGCGUGCAGGAUGAAGUUCUUCGGAAUGUAAACUGCUGUUAUAAGGGAAGAAAAAAUAGAAUAGGAAAUGAUUUUAUCUUGACGGUACCUUAUUAGAAAGCGACGGCAAACUAUGUGCCAGCAGCUGCGGUAAUACAUAGGUCGCAAGCGUUAUCCGGAAUUAUUGGGCGUAAAGCGUCCGUAGGUUUUUUGCUAAGUCUGGAGUUAAAUGCUGAAGCUCAACUUCAGUCCGCUUUGGAUACUGGCAAAAUAGAAUUAUAAAGAGGUUAGCGGAAUUCCUAGUGAAGCGGUGGAAUGCGUAGAUAUUAGGAAGAACACCAAUAGGCGAAGGCAGCUAACUGGUUAUAUAUUGACACUAAGGGACGAAAGCGUGGGGAGCAAACAGGAUUAGAUACCCUAGUAGUCCAAGGGCGAAUUCCACAGUGGAUAUCAAGCUUAUCGAUACCGUCGACCUCGAGGGGGGGCCCGGUACCAAAUAUAUGUUCACUUUAGUGAGGGUUA
Molecule: ribosomal RNA, 870 nt
Filed under: uncultured Mycoplasma sp.
Lineage: Bacteria; Bacillati; Mycoplasmatota; Mollicutes; Mycoplasmatales; Mycoplasmataceae
Description: bacterial SSU rRNA
Rfam family: Bacterial small subunit ribosomal RNA
Source: RNAcentral